RNAcentral lists this long non-coding RNA (456 nucleotides) under Vulpes vulpes (red fox). RNAcentral describes it as "lncRNA (ENSVVUG00000008006.1)". The record is from RNAcentral. Lineage: Eukaryota; Metazoa; Chordata; Mammalia; Carnivora; Canidae.
AAGGCUGUUAGGGUUUAUCGUUUGGAUUUCUGACUUUUGGGGGUGUGACUUUUCCCCUGUAUUUCUUUGGGCUCUGAUUUCAGAUGGCUGGUGACCAGAUGACAAGAAUCUAAUGUUUUGCUUGUGGAUAUUCUUGAACCUUGUGCCUGCUCCUGGCUCCUUUACCAGUGGGAAGUUUGGGAGGCAGAAAAGGGAAGAGAAAUGCAGACCAGUUUGCACUGGGGCAUCUGUGGUCAUCUUGUGGUUAAGGAGCUUACUCCAGAAUAAAAGCACUGCAGUAAGAAAGUCUAAGCUGACCUCCACACUGCUUGGUGACCAAGAUGCUCUGCAGGUUGCAGAUAGGCAGCAGGCCUUUGACAUGCUUUGGCUCUAAGUGACACUCUAAGGUCUUGAUUGAAACCCUUGAAGCUGGUUUAAGGAGGGUAGAGGGAGAAGAAACUAUAUUUUCAAUAAAAG